This 757-nucleotide non-coding RNA is filed under the name Bambusiphaga citricolorata. Lineage: Eukaryota; Metazoa; Arthropoda; Insecta; Hemiptera; Delphacidae. The record is from RNAcentral.
GAAAGAAUUAUUUGAUCAAAUUAUGGGGAAAGGUUUUUAAGUGAAAAUAGAUGUAAAAUUUUAAAUAGGGGUUUCGUUUAAAAAAAGUGAAUUUUUAUUUUCAGUGUUAAAGGUUAAUAAAAUUAUUGGGGGGUAGUUUUAAUUAAUUUAUAGAUAUUGAGGUGAAUAAAAAUGUGCCAGCAUUCGCGGUUAUACAUUGUCCUUAAAUUUUUUAUGUUAGAGGAAAGAAUAGUACAGAUUUAUUUAAUUAUUUUAAUGGGGGUAAAAUAAAUUAAAAUAGAUAUUGGGGUAUGAAUUCUUUAAAAUUUUGGGGUUAAACUAGGAUUAGAUACCCUAUUAUUCAAAUUUAAUGUUCACUUUUUGGUAUUUUAGUUACAUAAAAAAUUAGAUUGAUUUGGCGGUUUAUUAAUCUUUUUAGAGGAAUCUGUAGGUUAAAUUGAUAAUCCACGAUAAAUUAUACCUGAAAUUAUUUUUCUUGUAUAUCUCUAUACAUUGAAUAUAUUUAAAGAUUAAAUUUUCUUAUUUUAAAUUGUAAAUUUAAUUUAGGUCAAGGUGCAGUUAUUUUUAGGGUUUAAUGGAUUACAUUUAUUUUUGUUAGUGUUCAACUAUUUUUAUAAAUUUUUUAAAAUUGGAUUUAAAAGUAAUUUUUUUUUUUAAAAGAAUUGAAUUAUGCUCUGAUUUAUGUACAUAUCGCCCGUCAUUCUCUUUAUAACGAGACAAGUCGUAACAAAGUAGAUGUAUUGGAAAAUGUAUCUAG